This 5567-nucleotide long non-coding RNA is filed under the name Gallus gallus (chicken). Its description in RNAcentral is "lncRNA (ENSGALG00010027573.1)". The record is from RNAcentral. Lineage: Eukaryota; Metazoa; Chordata; Aves; Galliformes; Phasianidae.
AGAAGCAUUUGCUUACUGAUAGCAGCAUGGAAUACUGAGCACAAGGAAGUCAGAUACAGAUGAAGAUACAUCUUCAUGGUCCUGAAUAUGACAACAAGAUGAAUUUAAGUCAAAUCCUGAUGCAAAGCUAAACCUGCCAGUAACAUCUAUGGAGCAGCCAAAGGCAUCUCAUCAAGCGGUUGAGCCUGACCAGUGGAUCUGUGAAGCCCAUGUUACAAGCAGACACUGCAAAGCCAUGAAGAUUAUUUGAGUCAUUCUGGAUUUGCUGUGGGACAAAAAACACAGGAUGUGGCCAGAUCCAGCAAACAUACUUUUCAAUCAGAUUUACAUAAAAUCCACUCCUUCACCCACCAGACACACAUACAAAAAAAACAAAAUAAUAAUCAUAUCAAAACAGAACUGAUUGUGAAACCUCCUUUUGUCCUGUGAGAAUUUCAGAUUUCAGAAGUUUUACCAUCAAAACUUGAUAAUUCUUGCAGGCCAGUAAUCCAUGAAGAAUUCACCAUAGGUCUUUUGAGAUAUUUUUCAUGCUUUAGGUCCUUUUAAUAAUGGAAAUAAUAAUAAUAAAAAAUAGAGUAAUAAGCAAUGCAACAGCAAGAGCUAUUGCAAAGCAAAAGUAAAACAUUUCCCUCAAAGAAACUCAAAGCUGUAUACAAAUAUUUCAAAAGACAUUUAUUUAUUUAUGUGUUUAUGCACGUAGGUAUUUAUUUUUUAAGAACCUGAAGGAAACAACUGCCACUUGGUGAGUCAGGGCUCUUUCUAGGAAAAUAUGUUAGCCAAAAAUUCUCAAUGAAUUCUAAUCCACAAAUUCCAUCAUUCCUCAUUUCCCGUACACGCAACUGAGAGGAAGAGAGAAGAGAGAGAGAAAUUUAUGAAGUGUUGCCAAUGGAAUGUAAAAUCCCAGUUUCAGGCUCUUUUGCUUUCUUCAGUGACCUAAUUUGCUCCUGAAAACCCUCAGCCCCACUCUCAGCUGCUCUGCAAGGGAUGGUCUCCACAUGCAAGGACACAAGUAGGUCUGCUUGGAUGUCUUGUGGAGAAGGAGUGUUAGCGUAAGGAAUUAAUGACUUGAUGUGGUCUACAAGAAUUCAGCAUGAACCUGAACCUCACCUGGCAUCCAGAUGAACGGCCUGGGCAGAAGAGUAGUCAUCCUCUGCAAUUCUUGUUCUCUCUCUGGUCGUGCUUCUGGGAUAGCAUUGUAUAUACUACAAAGUGGUUGCUUCCACUUCUGCCCCCCCCCCCCCCCUCCCCUUUUUUUUUCUAUACUUUCAACCUAUUCCUAACCUGAUCUAUUCAAAAUGAAGAAAGGAAAUGGAAUAAAAACUUUCUUAUUAAGUAGUUUUUGGGAACAUUUGAGAGAAAUGCUUAAAAAUUCCUCUGCAGUGAAUUUUCUCUGAAAUGAAGGUAGGAUCCCAGCUGUAAAUCAGGCUGGAUUCUUUUCUAAAUCUAGGCUUACAAUUGCCAUAAACUCAAUCAUUUGCGUUGUCCUUAAACAGAGGGUCCAAGAUUUCCAGACCACUUAGACACUCUGUGACUGAAAUGGUUGUCUGUAACUCAGAACUCAGACAAAAUGAGAGCUUAGUUGCCCUGUUGUCAGUAUUUCUUCACCUCUUCACAAAAUAGUCAAAAUUUUCCCCAUGUGAUCAAAGGAUCUUUAGAUAUCCAAACUAUAAGCUUAAUCCUGGAGCAAGAUGUCCAUCCAUACAGAGGUAGCCCAAAGGUGCAGCGUGAUGAAUCAGGAAGGAAAUUACUCCAUCAGUUUUGAGAGGGAACCCAACCCAUACAUCCACCAAGAGAAAAAAAAAAAAUCACAUUUUCCAGGUUAAUUUUCCUGGAAAGCUCCAUUCAGAGACUAUUCAAAUUCGAAUAGCCUGUUCAGUUUAAACUGGCUUUUUUACCAAAUGCUGGGCAUUUUCUGCAUCAGACUAAUUUCAUUAUAGAGAACAUCUUGCUCUUUUACUCAAAUAUUUUCUUUAAUUCAGAAGAUGGCAGAAAUCAUAGAAUCAUAGAAUGGCCUGGGUUGAAAAGGGCCAUAAUGAUCAUCUAGUUUCAAUCCUGCUGCCAUGGACAGGGCUGCAAACCACUAGACCAGGCUGCCCAGAGCCACAUCCAGCCUGGCCGUGAAUGCCUCCAGGCAUAUGACAGAAAUGACAUAAUAAAAAAAUGAAACCAGGGAUCCUAAUAAUUAGUUAACUAAUUAUGGACUUUGCCGUGGGAUCACUCUGUGACAUUUGAAGGAAGAUGCCUGUACAUUAGGUUCUGUUUGGCUUAAAAGUUCAGAUCUAAUGCUAAGAAUGUCUUUAUGUAGAAUAAGACAAUGACUGAACAUGCCCACAUGAUAAUAACAGGCAAAGAAACCCAUGGAGAUGCAUUCUACUGACCUGAAGGAAUGCACACUAAUGGCAAAAAGGAGAAAACUGCAUCUCUGGAGAGUAAAUCAAAUCCUUCUGGGUAAAGUGGUUAUUAAGAAAUGAGCAACCACUGGAAUCUCAGUUGUGCUACCAGAGUCAUGCUCCUUACCUUGACCCUCCAAUUCGAACCACAGAGAACCUGUCCUGAAGACAUAUGAUCAGAUCUACUCUCCUAAAUUCUGAAUUAAUCAGGGGAUAGUGCAUAGGUUGGAAAGAGUUCAUGUCACCUUAUUUUUCAAAAAUCAUAUAUUCUGAAGAAUACUUUAAUACAAUACUUAAAUUCACAGUAUUUUUCAGACUCUGCUUGGCUGUGGAUAGAUAUUUCCCAUUCAGACGUAAGUAUGCUUGAUGCAUAAUGACACACUGAAAAAUAGAAACACAGAAAUUGAACAUUUUAAGGCAGUAAUUCACCUCAAAGAAACUCCUUUGUAAUAGCUGAUCUGUUCUGUCAGAUAACUGCAAGGUUCUUUAGGACAAUGAUGACCUCAGUGGAAGACAUUCAAGCAGUCUUGUGUCUUCUGUAGGGCAGGAACCUUGCAAAGCACUUAGCUCAUCCUGAAUCAGGACCUAAGCCUGGAAGGAGGCAAAUCCUGCAGGCUGCUAGGGUGAGGGAAACUGAAAAUGACCUCUUGCUGUCAAAUUUCACUCAUUCGUUUUAACCCAAGGUUUCCCCAAGGCUGCAGAACAAAUUCCUUCUGUGCAGGAAGUGCUCGUGCUAAUCCAGAGGUUCAAAGCCUGUAUGAGGAAAUAUAAUGCUUCCUCCAGGGACUUUUCAGAGGAGAGUGGUUGACCACAAGAAAAUAAAAUCUCCUGCAGCUGAUCGUAAGCCUGUGUGAGAGGGCUGCUGAGGAGUCACCUAGGAAUGACUGCAAUUCCUGUUUAUGAGUCAGCAGGGAAGGAGCAGCCCAAGUCAGAUUUUGGGAGAUGCCUGCGCUGUCUGCCUCUUUUCAGACCAUGGGAACACUGCAAGGAAAAUAAUGAGGAGAUAUGAGGUUAAGGAAUGUGGGAAUUCAAGGUUCUAUAGACCAUGCUUAUGGAUGGAUUGAUGUAGCUGCCUGCUAGGCAUGACAACACCUGCAGCAAGCAGAGAUGUGAGCUCUGAUCCAGCAUUGCUGCGUCAUGUUAAGGUAAGGCACUUUGACUUUCUUCCACAUCUUGGUUUUCAAAGAGAGAAAAAUCUUGUGGGCAUGAAUUGCCUCAAUCUAUGUCUGUAUAAUGUCUGUUUUAGUGAAUCUGAAUUCAAGAAUUUUGAAUUUUCCCAGACAAGUGUUAGAUCAAACCUACAGUCUCAUUCCACUAAGAGAACAUCAGUUCAUUUGUAUCUCCACUGGAUUUAAAGGACUUUCUUCUAAGCAUCUGUACCCUUCCCAACACAAAGCUAAGGACUGAGGCUUCAAGUGGAACUCAAGUUCUUUAAAAAAAAAAAAAAAAAAGAUUCAAUCCAUCUGGAUGUGCUGACUUCAUUGUGGAUCUCUUCUGAACUGGUAUAUUUCCCUAGGUAACUGGUUGGGGUUCUCUUAUACUUUAAAGCACUGAUAAAUUUGUAACAUCAGAAUAGAAUCAUGAUAAAACGUGUCAGGAAGAGAUUUCAAGAAAAAACAAACCUCAUUCUUUUUUUCUCCUUCCAGAAUCAGCUGGACACCUGCUUUCUAACCUGCUAAAACCUUCUGUUCUUAGAAGCUCCCCAUAAACUUUGACAUGUGUAGGUUGGACAAAGAAUUCAGUUCUUGACUGUUUGAGAAGUAUGGCAAUGUUAUUUAAGAAUGUUUUGACUUAUUUAUCAGCUUUGUCUUCUAGCCUAUAGCCUCCUUUCAGACAAUUACCCUCUGUUGUUUUGUAUUAUUUCUCUUUCUGUCUGAUUUUUCUUAGUUUUGGUUUCAUCUCACCAUGGAUUGAAGAUCAAGGGAAAAAUAUUCUUCCACUUUGCUUUAAUGCAACAUGAACAAAGGUGUUAGAAUGUGAUUUUCAGAAAAUAAGUCAUAAUAGUUAUAAAUUUGUGACGUACCCGUUGGGAUUACACAGGCUGGUCAUGUGCUGGCUUGAAAUCUGGGCUGAAACUGUUACAGCUCAAUUGAAAUCAACGUUGCAAAUGUAUUUACUCAGAGUGAGAUCCAUGGAGUGCAAACACCCCAGGCCUAAUAGUGGACGGAAAAUAGAAAAAGCAACUCCUACUCAUUUACUAUGAUAAAUGAUCACCUCAAGAUCCUAAUGGCCGUGGUGUUCUAUCAACAUGUUCAGCUCCUAUCCAACAUCAGGUGGGGUGGUGGUGGCGGAUGAGUGCAGAGCUCAAAUUAUGCUCUGAUCUUGGCAGGUCCUGGAUAAUUUAACAAGCAUGAUUAGAUGCUAAAUAAAUAUUGGUUUUGCAAUUUGCUCACCAGUUUUGCUCUUGGAUAAAAGAGGCUACAAAUACUGUUGCACUGGCAACAGGAACAAACAAUUUAAAAGAUCCGUUCAGACUGUGAUGAAAGCGUUUGAAGAAGAAAAUUUUGGUGGAAUCAUGUUUUGCUCUAAUGAAAACCCUCUGUUCUGCAGUAACUGAAGAAAAUCAGCAAACUCUACUCCUCAUGACUUGAAUUUAAUUGUCAAUUUAAAGGUGAAGCAGUUUUGUGAAAGGAGGAAGUCCCUCAACAGACCCUAUGUAACAGGAUAAGAGCUAAGAUGAGCUCACUUGUUUCAAUGUCAUAUUCUUUGGUUUUGAUAAAGUUUUCAUAGAUGAAGAUAUCUGGCUACACACACAUAGUUUAAUAUAAUAUAGUUAUAUUUACUUCCAAUUUUUGCCAUUGAGGGACUAUUCUUGUAGUGCUCACUUCCUUUGUCUUCACUAUAUGCAUGUGUAUUUUUGCAGUGAAAUAAAUGUAUGUACACACACAGAGUUGUGUCAGUGAAUGCCUAGUUCGUUUUUGCACUAAAAAACCCUCCUGUUGCUUUCAACUUCAGUUGAAGGAGACAGAACUUCAGAUAAGAUACGACCUGCUUUGUCCUGGGCAAAUAUGAGUGGUAAACUGUAGAAAUUGUGGUCAGUGUUUUUCCCUUUAACCCAGCAGCUGUCCUGUGCUGUGUAGUCCCUAUUCACAGUGGGUAUUUAUUACAGCUUCAUAAGAUAAUGCACAACAUUAAUGCCCUGCACACCCUUUUCAACUGCUUCUGCAAGUUAGCUCA